CCCUCUCUGCCCCCCACCCAGUGACCCCACACAUCCAGCUCAACUGUACCUUUUGAACUUUGACCUUCUCACCCACAGGACCAGGACCGUCCCCUUCCAUUGGCGUUCCUCCACCGUGCACGGCCAAUCCCACGUGCCGAGCCCCCCCAGCCCGCAUCCACAUUACCGCCACGCCCCCUCUCCGCGGCCAAAAGGGUCCCUCUGCAGCAACAGCCAGGUUCCUCAGAACCAAGAUACCCCUGGGGAUCAAUGACCUCCACGGGUCCGUCCACUGAGAUGCCCCUGAAGCCUCCAGCUCAAAGUGAAGAAGAAGAUGAGGAUGGAGCACUGGCUGCUGCUCCCCCAUUCAUAAAUCCUUAAGAGGAAGAGAACCGGUGUCCGGUUACAUGAAACAGGGUGUCAGUAGCUUCACAGCACAUGGUGAUGAAGACCACAGUCAAUGAGGCCAGAUGAGAUCUGUUCAGGCAGGGUGGGUCUUACUCGGAGCUACAAGGCAGUAGCCUCUUAUUUUCAUCAAAGGAAAGUGAAAGUAAUAGACAACAGAGAGGAACAUGAUCAAAAGUUGGAUACUCUCUCCAGUCCAGAAAGUUCCAGCUUCCCAUCUCUCUCUCCUCCACCCGAUCAGUUUUGUGUCCCUGUGAGUAAAUGUGCGUAGAAAUCUGGUUUUUCAUUUGCUCUAAAUGCUUAUUAACUGUUUGGUUUAUCAACACGAAUGACACACAUGACCGGAGCAGAUAUGUCGACAAUCCACAAUGAACCCAGAAUCUGAAGAUCAGGUGAGAUCCCCACCGCACCUGGAAGAAAUUCUAAGAUCCCUCCUGGUCCUCCUUUGGGAAUGUCAGAUGGAUUGGUAACUCAGGCAACAGAAGAAGGAAUAUAGGGGGGGAAGCUGGAGAGAAAACAAUUAAUUUCCCCAAGCAUUGGGGAAAGUUCCUGUGGUGGGCUAUGGCGGGGGGGGGGGUGAUGCAGCCUAGUGCUCUGCCACCCAGGCAUGGACAUCUGUAACGGUAACGGGGCCAAAAUGCAAACUGUAGACCUCCAGAAGGUCCUGGGGGGGCAGUGUACAAAGCAGACCUUAUCACCAUCCCUACCCAGAUCUGAAGACAUGUAACUUAAGUCAUUUUCACCGCCCUGAGCCACGUGCAAAUGGAGGCCCCGCAUCGGUUUGUUCUGAAAAACGCUCCUUUCUGAGACACCAUGGACCAGCAGGGGCGACGUGGAUGAUGCAAAUGAGAAAUGAUGUCGUGGCACUUAAGGUUUCCCAGCAAAACACCCCCAAUGCGCCAUGUCUUAGUGUGGCGGUCAGGACCAAUAUGUCAGGAAAGCAAAUCAGCAUUAUCCUCGUUGUGCUUAAUGCUGUGGCUCGCUGGCGUCUUCACUAAUGUUUUAUCGGGAAUAUUUUUAGCUUACAGCUUGCAGGACGCGACCCAUAUUUCAUCAGGCCGGAGAGACAAACAUAUUCUAGGCUAUGCUGUGCACAAACAUAAUCAUUCGAAUGCAAUUCGACUAUUAGUUCCAGCUCGAAAUGAAAAACAUUGCCAGAAAGAUCGGCCACUCAUGCCCAAGGAGCAUAAACUCCCACAAUCCGCCAUGAACGUGACUUAAUGUCCCAUAUUCUGUACAAAGAUUCACCUUUUUCAUGCAUUUCAUUCAAUUCUAGAAGAUAUUCUGUUCACUUUUCAGGGCCUUUGCAGCUCUCAGUGACAGAAGAGGCACUUUGCUCUGGUUUAGCUGGUGCUGUCUGCCGUUGACGCCUAUGCAGCCUGGUCAGGGCUGGGCGUCUCUCUUCCAUCCAGACUCCAUUUCCUGUGUCAGGCAGGAAGUAGGUGUGGGUGUGUGUAAGGUGGAGCGCUGCGAGUGACACGCUUGUUACAGCUUUCCCACGACAUAAAAGGGAGACAGCGUUAGUACUUGUUCAAGAAGAUAAGUCAAAAACUAUUGUCAAGAUAAAAUCAUACAUGUAGGUGGUUCGUUUUCCGCUAAGAAAGCACAUCACCAAGCCUCCAGAUAUUAGUGUUGAACUCGAAAACAGGAAUUAAUCAAUAAACUAAAACAAAAUAAAAGCCGCGGUUUUUUUGUGGGGAGAGCAAGUUGGCUGGUUUCUCGUGCUUGGUCUGAACGGAAUAUUGACUUUGACGUUUCUCCUCUUUGUUAAUUUUUGAGCAAACUUUAUGUAACUUGUCACACAUUGUUGCAGAUGCCUGCAUGCAGCGUUGCCAAGGUAACCCUGUAGUCUGACAACAAUCUACCUCUCGUUCAGUCGCCCCAGUGGCCAGAUCCCUAUGCUGAGACCUUCACCUCUGUCUGUCUGCAUAGCCAUAGACCCUUUGCAGCCCUUUCUUUAUAUGUAGCUUCUGACUGGAAGUUCCUGACCGCGGACCUCAUAUAUUCUGCUUCAUCGCUAUUUAGACACCGGUUUAAUCUAGACGCAGAUGUACUGUCUGACCGACAGUUUCCCAGAAUAGCCCACUUGCCUGUUGGUCCCUGGUCUAGAUGAACUUGGAGAGUCGUUAGUUGCUUUUACAUCUGAUGACACAGAGCUUGACACGUGUCCUAGAGGACAGCUGUGCGGGUUUCGUGUGAGAUACAUAAUAGUGGCCAAAACUGAGGAAACACCUAGCAUUUUCGGCAUCACGCUUUCAAAAUUAGUACACAAAUAUUGCCGGUAAUAUUUAUAAACAGUCAAAGAAUGCUAUGAAUAUCAUGCAUUGGACAAUUAAAUAAGUAACUGGAGCAACAGUUGAGUAGAACUCUGUAGAUCAUGUUACCAGGGACUAUGCUGUGAAAAGCAGGCUUCUGAAUAUGCUAUUAGCGAUUACCCUGCAUACAGAAUGACUCAUUGCAAGAAUGAUGCUUAUGGAUUGGUUAGCUUAUGACGUCACCAGAAAGCCGUACCUGGGAUCAUCGUCUUCUUCCAGCUAGUAUUUGGGCUGUAAUUCCGUAAUUGUAAAACUGUAAGUGACUUUGUGCUAGGAUUUGCUGCCUUACACAGGUGUGCUCAAGUCUUUCCCCUGGUGGGGUGGGGGGGGGGUGAUUUUUCUGGAACUUACCUUAACGUAAGCUUGCUUAAAGGCACGCCGAGUGCCCAGUAUAAAUACUCUAUGCAAUCGUGGGCUUUAAGUCUGGCGCGCCUGGCCCAGAUCUGCAUCAGAUCUUCAGAAACCGCCCCCCGGCCGCCCCUUCUCCUCCUCCUACUCGUCCUUCGUUAAUCUUUCUGUACAAAGAGCUGAAUGUCUUUAACACUACGCGUCGUGCAUCCACCCCAGUAGGUAAAGAAAAAAGUACGAAUCCCUUAAAUGUACGUAACGUAAGCAAGCAGGAGUCGUAGCAGAAUAUUAGGGUGUGGACACAGACGGACUGCAUCUGUAUUAGGAGUAAUGACAGAAAACGCUUAGUCACCGUAGAAAACACACAGUGUCCUGUACCAGCCUCCUGACUUUGACUGUCUUCGGAGUGACUCCGGUUUUAAUGAGUAGCGUGAUAGUCGAUGAACUUCCAGACAAGUCGAGGAACUGCAUCAACAGGGUCUUUGUUGUGUGUGUAGUGUCUGUAACAGAGUGUGCAGAUAAUUUGUGCAUAAUCAGACUGAGAAUAUCAGUAUUUUAAUAUGGAAUAUAUAGACAUUUUUAAAACGCAGAACUUAGGCUAAAUGACCACUAAGACAUGACAGAAUUUAGCGUCGUGCUACCCUUUUUUCAGCAAAUGGUAACUUGUUCUUCUGAUAGUGACUUGUAUAAAGAAAUGAAAAAAAUUAAUAAAGAAUUAUUAUAUCAA
This is a long non-coding RNA of Brienomyrus brachyistius, 3774 nucleotides long. RefSeq lists it as uncharacterized. The record is from RefSeq and is a predicted model, not a curated record. Lineage: Eukaryota; Metazoa; Chordata; Actinopteri; Osteoglossiformes; Mormyridae. The transcript is spliced from 2 exons.